AACCUGGUACCUUGUCUCUUAACAUACGACCGCCUCCGCCGCUCCUCUACCCAAUGCCGCCGGUAGCGAUGCUCCGAUGACCCCCAAAAUUACACCACCCCACCUCCUCGACUUCCUCUUUCCAUUUUUCCAUUGACAUCCUUCGAAUAGCAGUCAAACGCGUUGAAUAUUUGUUUGAAGCAGAAGCUACUCCGCCGUGUGCGGCGGCGCCGAUGACAAUCGACCCCAAAAGAACGCCAAACACUCCCCUCACCUUCCUCACCCAAAAUCUGUAAGUCUCGUCCCUCUAAUGACGAUCAAGGUUCUCGAAUCUUAGAUUGAGUGAACCCCAGAAUCCAAAAUUAUCCCAAAUUGGGUUCUGUGGAAUAUUUAGGUCCAAAAUGACUUUAUUUAUGUGUUCUUAUAAGAACACACGGUUAAUAUCAUAUUUGGGCAAAAAUUUGAAGAGUUGAAGAUCCAGGCUUCCUUUUCCAUCCCUCAAAUUCGUUCUUUUAGGUAUUUUUUUCCUUUCUUUCUUCAGUGUAAUAUUUCUUUUCACUUAUAUUUCUGUUUCUUCCUCUUUUUUGAAUCAUUUUAUUUGCUCCAUAGUUUAGUGGUUCAUGCAUGAUUAACUUUGAGUCGUUUAAUAGAUAGUUUGUAAAGUUAUUUUUGCUUUAAAUUGCUAGUUGGAUUACUCUUAUUCAGUAGAACAUUUAGGCUAUGGUUUUAAUUGUCUUGUGUUAUUUGUUGUUUACAACUUAUUAAUUAGAUGGUUACUAGUUGGGCCAAGUAGAUUUUUGGUACCGAGGGCUGGUUUUUUGUCUUUUUUUUUGGGGUUUAUCUUGAUCAAAAUUUAUCCUUGACCCAGAAUUGUUAGUAAGGGUAAAUGACUAGGGGUCGAAGGGUAGUUUGAGUAGUCUAGGUUAGAGAAUCUAUUCAUAAUUAAAAUAGGAAUGUUCUAGCGGGGAAUGUUAGCCAAUUUCAGGAUUCUGAUUAGUCAACUUGGAUAGAAAGUUAAUAACUAAAGGAUACUUAGGCAAAAAGGAAAAUUUCAAAAGGGCUAAGCUGCAAAAUCAGAACCAAAUAUCUGCCUUAUUUUGCUUGCCUAUAAAGGCACCCCAUCUUGACCUAGAAGGGGAAUAUUUUUGGACAGAUUUUAAAGAUCUUAAGAAUUAGAGAAAAAGGGAAAAAAAUUAGAGUUUUAUUGAGCUGCUUGAACUUUGAAACAUCCGGGAAAGACUUUAAGAGCUUAAAAAAUUAGAGAGAAUUCAGGGAUGAAGUUCUAGAGAUUAAGUUAGGAAAAUGGCUGGAUUCUGAAAAUAAGAGCACUGUUCCAUUGAGCCUUUUGAUAUUUUUCUGAUUUUUUCAACUGCUAAAAACCAUAGUGCUAGAUUAAUGGGAGUUGAGAUGGAUUGAUAUCAAAUUUUGGAAAGUCUUGGGUCGAGCUGUUUGGAAGUUCACUGUUUCAUAGAAUUUGGACUUACUUUUGUUGUUUUCAACCACAUAAAUCUGGGCUGUGUUGUUGCUGUUGUUGAUCCCUGCUAUUACAUUACUGAUACCUCACUAUUUCUUCUCAUGUUUCAAUCUCUAGGUAUACACUUCGAUGCCUAUGUACAGAUUAACUCAUAUGGUGUGAAGAUAUGAAGAUCCAUUUAGCUGAAGGAUGUGUUACUUCUUCUUUAUGUUGUUUUUAUUCAUGGUUCUGCUCUUAGUGUUUAAACCUAUGCAAUACUAUGAAUAUUUAAGACUCAUUUCAAUUUAUAAGAACUGGGUUAUAAUAAUAAUAUUUCCGUUUGUAUUGGUUAGUAGCUAUGGCCAAUAGUAUGCAUUUGAGAUUGUUUGAGUAUAUUUACUGUUGUUUAUUUCUAGUAGGCACAAUUUAAUAGUGUUACAGAUGUGGUAUUAUGGUUUUGGAAAUGAAUUUGUUGUCCAGCUGAAUCAGUAGUUGUUAGUCAAAGCUAAUUUCCAUAACAAGUGAAUUUUUUCUCCCUUGUUUCAAAGUGAAUUCGAGACCUUUGUUUGCUUAGGCG
This 2009-nucleotide long non-coding RNA is filed under the name Nicotiana benthamiana. RNAcentral describes it as "long non-coding RNA (NBEN_LNC016491)". Lineage: Eukaryota; Viridiplantae; Streptophyta; Magnoliopsida; Solanales; Solanaceae. The record is from RNAcentral.